UACGUAGGGACCGAGCGUUGUCCGGAAUCAUUGGGCGUAAAGGGUGCGUAGGCGGCGCGGUAAGUCGGGUGUGAAAUCUUGGAGCUUAACUCCGAAACUGCAUUCGAUACUGCCGUGCUUGAGGACUGGAGAGGAGACUGGAAUUUACGGUGUAGCGGUGAAAUGCGUAGAUAUCGUAAGGAAGACCAGUGGCGAAGGCGGGUCUCUGGACAGUUCCUGACGCUGAGGCACGAAGGCCAGGGGAGCAAACGGG
RNAcentral lists this ribosomal RNA (253 nucleotides) under uncultured bacterium. Its description in RNAcentral is "partial 16S ribosomal RNA". It matches the Rfam family "Bacterial small subunit ribosomal RNA", at positions 524 to 776 of the family's 1533-position model. The record is from RNAcentral.